UAGCUAAAUGCGGAAGAGAUAAGUGCUGAAAGCAUCUAAGCACGAAACUUGCCCCGAGAUGAGUUCUCCCUGACCCUUUAAGGGUCCUGAAGGAACGUUGAAGACGACGACGUUGAUAGGCCGGGUGUGUAAGCGCAGCGAUGCGUUGAGCUAACCGGUACUAAUGAACCGUGAGGCUUAACCUUACAACGCCGAAGGUGUUU
This 203-nucleotide ribosomal RNA is filed under the name Escherichia coli. Its description in RNAcentral is "partial 23S ribosomal RNA". It matches the Rfam family "Bacterial large subunit ribosomal RNA", at positions 2746 to 2925 of the family's 2925-position model. Lineage: Bacteria; Pseudomonadati; Pseudomonadota; Gammaproteobacteria; Enterobacterales; Enterobacteriaceae. The record is from RNAcentral.